CGUGUAGGCGGCCCGAUCAGUCCGCUGUAAAAGUCCAGGGCUCAACCCUGGGAUGCCGGUGGAAACUGUCGGGCUAGAGUCCGGAAGAGGCGAGUGGAAUUCCUGGUGUAGCGGUGAAAUGCGCAGAUAUCAGGAGGAACACCAAUGGCGAAGGCAGCUCGCUGGGACGGUACUGACGCUGAGACGCGAAAGCGUGGGGAGCAAACAGGAUUAGAUACCCUGGUAGUCCACGCCGUAAACGAUGGGCACUAGGUGCGGGAGGUGUCGACUCCUUCCGUGCCGCAGCUAACGCAUUAAGUGCCCCGCCUGGGGAGUACGGCCGCAAGGCUAAA
Molecule: ribosomal RNA, 332 nt
Filed under: uncultured bacterium
Lineage: Bacteria
Description: bacterial SSU rRNA
Rfam family: Bacterial small subunit ribosomal RNA
Source: RNAcentral